UUCCUGAUGGUCCAGUGGUUAAGACUCUGUGUUUCCACUACAGGGGGCACAGGUUCAAUCCCUGGUUGGCAAA
RNAcentral lists this transfer RNA (73 nucleotides) under Bos taurus (domestic cattle). It matches the Rfam family "tRNA". Rfam says of the family: Transfer RNA (tRNA) molecules are approximately 80 nucleotides in length. Their secondary structure includes four short double-helical elements and three loops (D, anti-codon, and T loops). Lineage: Eukaryota; Metazoa; Chordata; Mammalia; Artiodactyla; Bovidae. The record is from Rfam by way of RNAcentral. RNAcentral also lists the same sequence under 2 other names.